RNAcentral lists this ribosomal RNA (497 nucleotides) under uncultured bacterium. RNAcentral describes it as "partial 16S ribosomal RNA". It matches the Rfam family "Bacterial small subunit ribosomal RNA", at positions 28 to 507 of the family's 1533-position model. The record is from RNAcentral.
GAUGAACGCUGGCGGCGUGCCUAAUACAUGCAAGUCGAGCGAACGGACGAGGAGCUUGCUUCUCUGAUGUUAGCGGCGGACGGGUGAGUAACACGUGGAUAACCUACCUAUAAGACUGGGAUAACUUCGGGAAACCGGAGCUAAUACCGGAUAAUAUUUUGAACCGCAUGGUUCAAUAGUGAAAGACGGUCUUGCUGUCACUUAUAGAUGGAUCCGCGCUGCAUUAGCUAGUUGGUAAGGCAACGGCUUACCAAGGCAACGAUGCAUAGCCGACCUGAGAGGGUGAUCGGCCACACUGGAACUGAGACACGGUCCAGACUCCUACGGGAGGCAGCAGUAGGGAAUCUUCCGCAAUGGGCGAAAGCCUGACGGAGCAACGCCGCGUGAGUGAUGAAGGUCUUCGGAUCGUAAAACUCUGUUAUUAGGGAAGAACAUAUGUGUAAGUAACUGUGCACAUCUUGACGGUACCUAAUCAGAAAGCCACGGCUAACUACGUG